RNAcentral lists this ribosomal RNA (460 nucleotides) under uncultured bacterium. RNAcentral describes it as "partial 16S ribosomal RNA". It matches the Rfam family "Bacterial small subunit ribosomal RNA", at positions 338 to 795 of the family's 1533-position model. The record is from RNAcentral.
CCUACGGGUGGCAGCAGUGAGGGAUAUUGGUCAAUGGACGAGAGUCUGAACCAGCCAAGUAGCGUGAGGGAUGACUGCCCUAUGGGUUGUAAGCUUCUUUUAUAUGGGAAUAAAAUGUUCCACGUGUGGGAUUUUGUAUGUACCAUAUGAAUAAGGAUCGGCUAACUCCGUGCCAGCAGCCGCGGUAAUACGUAGGAUCCGAGCGUUAUCCGGAUUUAUUGGGUGUAAAGGGAGCGUAGGUGGAUUGUUAAGUCAGUUGUGAAAGUUUGCGGCUCAACCGUAAAAUUGCAGUUGAAACUGGGAGUCUUGAGUACAGUAGAGGUGGGCGGAAUUCGUGGUGUAGCGGUGAAAUGCUUAGAUAUCACGAAGAACUCCGAUUGCGAAGGCAGCUCACUGGACUGCAACUGACACUGAGGCUCGAAAGUGUGGGUAGCAAACAGGAUUAGAUACCCCAGUAGUC